This 487-nucleotide ribosomal RNA is filed under the name Tuberogonus sp. n. CUMZ-D00010. RNAcentral's name for it is "partial 16S ribosomal RNA". It matches the Rfam family "Bacterial large subunit ribosomal RNA", at positions 1883 to 2597 of the family's 2925-position model. The record is from RNAcentral. Lineage: Eukaryota; Metazoa; Arthropoda; Diplopoda; Spirostreptida; Harpagophoridae.
GGUUUUUUGAAGUUAACUAAAAAAUCAGGCCUGCCCACUGAUGAAGGGCUGCAGUAUUUUGACUGUACAAAGGUAGCAUAAUCAUUAGUCUCUUGAUUGGGGACUGGUAUGAAGGGUUAAACGAAAAUUGUCUGUCUCAAAAAUAAUAAUGAAUUUUAUUUUUAAGGAAAAGAGCUUAAAUUGGUCAAUGGGACGAGAAGACCCUGUUAAAUUUGAUAUGGGUUUAUAUUUUUGUUUGAAUGGAAAAAAUAUAGAUAUAUUAAUUUUACUGGGGCGGUAUGUAAAUAACUUUAUUAUUUUUUAAUAUGGUAAGUAGCGGAACUUUGAUCCGAAUGGAUUGAUACUAGACAAAAUUACUGCAGGGAUAACAGCGUAAUAUUUUUUGAGAGUUCUUAUUGACAAAAGUGUUUGCGACCUCGAUGUUGGAUUAAGAAGUCUUAUAGGUGCAGUAGCUUUUGAAGAGGGUCUGUUCGACCUUUAAAUUCUU